RNAcentral lists this ribosomal RNA (163 nucleotides) under uncultured bacterium. RNAcentral describes it as "partial 16S ribosomal RNA". It matches the Rfam family "Bacterial small subunit ribosomal RNA", at positions 355 to 507 of the family's 1533-position model. The record is from RNAcentral.
UGUGGAAUAUUGCACAAUGGGCCGCAAGCCUGAUGCAGCCAUGCCGCGUGUAUGAAGAAGGCCUUCGGGUUGUAAAGUACUUUCACGCGGGGAGGAAGGGAGUACAAGUUAAUACCUUUGCUCAUUGACGUUACCCGCAGAAGAAGCACCGGCUAACACCGUG